GAUGAACGCUAGCUACAGGCUUAACACAUGCAAGUCGAGGGAACGACAUCGAAAGCUUGCUUUUGUAUGGGCGUCGACCGGCGCACGGGUGAGUAACGCGUAUCCAACCUGCCCACCACUUGGGGACAACCUUGCGAAAGUAAGACUAAUACCCGAUGAUAUCUCUAGAAGACAUCUGAAAGGGAUUAAAGAUUUAUCGGUGAUGGAUGGGGAUGCGUCUGAUUAGCUUGUUGGUGGGGCAACGGCCUACCAAGGCGACGAUCAGUAGCCGGUCUGAGAGGAUGAACGGCCACAUUUGGGACUGAGACACGGCCCAGACUCCUACGGGAGGCAGCAGUGGGGAAUAUUGCACAAUGGGGGAAACCCGUGAUGCAGCGACGCCGCGUGGAGGAAGAAGGUCUUCGGA
This 406-nucleotide ribosomal RNA is filed under the name uncultured bacterium. RNAcentral's name for it is "bacterial SSU rRNA". It matches the Rfam family "Bacterial small subunit ribosomal RNA", at positions 28 to 422 of the family's 1533-position model. The record is from RNAcentral.